UACGUAGGGUGCAAGCGUUAUCCGGAAUUAUUGGGCGUAAAGAGCUCGUAGGCGGUUUGUCGCGUCUGCUGUGAAAACUGGAGGCUCAACCUCCAGCCUGCAGUGGGUACGGGCAAACUAGAGUGCGGUAGGGGGAGAUUGGAAUUCCUGGUGUAGCGGUGGAAUGCGCAGAUAUCAGGAGGAACACCGAUGGCGAAGGCAGAUCUCUGGGCCGUAACUGACGCUGAGGAGCGAAAGCAUGGGGAGCGAACAGG
This 254-nucleotide ribosomal RNA is filed under the name uncultured bacterium. RNAcentral's name for it is "partial 16S ribosomal RNA". It matches the Rfam family "Bacterial small subunit ribosomal RNA", at positions 524 to 776 of the family's 1533-position model. The record is from RNAcentral.